AUUGUAUGUUACAAAGUGCAGAGAGAAAAGUGCCUACUUGUAUGUACUGUGAAAUAUAUGUAUAUCAUCUGUUUAAUAUGUAGACACAAACC
Small nucleolar RNA from Neodiprion virginianus, 92 nucleotides. RefSeq annotates it as small nucleolar RNA SNORA17. Lineage: Eukaryota; Metazoa; Arthropoda; Insecta; Hymenoptera; Diprionidae. The record is from RefSeq and is a predicted model, not a curated record. The transcript has a single exon.